CCCUGCCGGCAGCGAGGCCCUCACCAGCAAGGCUGCCUCUGGGCGUUGGUGGGGGCCUCGGGCCAGGCCUGAGUCCCGGGACCCAGGGAGGGGAGUCCACAGUCAGUCACGGGCCGGGCGCUCGAAUGCCGUUAGAGAGAAAUCCAGUUCCCGUGGGCCCUAGACUUCUCAUGGGACCGCGUUCUUCAGAGCAGACCCCGAGCCAAGGACGCACGGCAAACGAUUUCUUGAGAAGCCAGUGCUCCCGGAGACAGGGAGGCGGGCCGUGGCCGGGGAGCACAGCCCAGCCCCGCCUGAGCCCGAGGGAGCCCCGGGGGAUAACACAGCACAUUUGGCAAAUGCCGUGGAAAUCACAACAGUAACGGGCCCUCAUCCGCCGGGCUAAGGACCAUGACAAGAAAAGAAAAUGAGGGCCGUCCAUGGCGAAGUGAACCCUGGCUCAGUGUGGUCACAGGGCAGGAGGGGUGAGGACAGACGUGGCCGCUGG
Long non-coding RNA from Acinonyx jubatus (cheetah), 487 nucleotides. RefSeq lists it as uncharacterized. The record is from RefSeq and is a predicted model, not a curated record. The transcript is spliced from 3 exons. NCBI's taxonomy places the organism in Eukaryota, Metazoa, Chordata, Mammalia, Carnivora, Felidae.